This 548-nucleotide ribosomal RNA is filed under the name Mycobacterium intracellulare. RNAcentral describes it as "bacterial SSU rRNA". It matches the Rfam family "Bacterial small subunit ribosomal RNA", at positions 523 to 1070 of the family's 1533-position model. Lineage: Bacteria; Bacillati; Actinomycetota; Actinomycetes; Mycobacteriales; Mycobacteriaceae. The record is from RNAcentral.
AUACGUAGGGUGCGAGCGUUGUCCGGAAUUACUGGGCGUAAAGAGCUCGUAGGUGGUUUGUCGCGUUGUUCGUGAAAUCUCACGGCUUAACUGGGAACGUGCGGGCGAUACUGGCAGACUAGAGUACUGCAGAGGAGACUGGAAUUCCUGGUGUAGCGGUGGAAUGCGCAGAUAUCAGGAGGAACACCGGUGGCGAAGGCGGGUCUCUGGACAGUAACUGACGCUGAGGAGCGAAAGCGUGGGGAGCGAACAGGAUUAGAUACCCUGGUAGUCCACGCCGUAAACGGUGGGUACUAUUUGUGGGUUUCCUUCCUUGGGCUCCGUGCCGUAGCUAACGCAUUAAGUCGACCGCCUGGGGAGUACGGCCGCAAGGCUAAAACUCAAAGGAAUUGACGGGGGCCCGCACAAGCGGCGGAGCAUGUGGAUUAAUUCGAUGCAACGCGAAGAACCUUACCUACUCUUGACAUGCACAGGACGCGUCUAGAGAUAGGCGUUGCCUUGUGGACUCUGAGCAGGUGCUGCAUGGCUGUCGUCAGCUCGUGUCGUGA